AUCUAGCUGACGAGUCCCAAACAGGACGGAACGCGCGUCCUGGAU
This 45-nucleotide non-coding RNA is filed under the name Schistosoma mattheei. Lineage: Eukaryota; Metazoa; Platyhelminthes; Trematoda; Strigeidida; Schistosomatidae. The record is from RNAcentral.